Molecule: ribosomal RNA, 253 nt
Filed under: uncultured bacterium
Lineage: Bacteria
Description: partial 16S ribosomal RNA
Rfam family: Bacterial small subunit ribosomal RNA
Source: RNAcentral
UACGAAGGGGGCUAGCGUUGUUCGGAAUCACUGGGCGUAAAGCGCACGUAGGCGGAUUUGUUAGUCAGGGGUGAAAUCCCGGGGCUCAACCUCGGAACUGCCUUUGAUACUGCAAGUCUCGAGUCCGGGAGAGGUGAGUGGAAUUCCUAGUGUAGAGGUGAAAUUCGUAGAUAUUAGGAAGAACACCAGUGGCGAAGGCGGCUCACUGGUCCGAUACUGACGCUGAGGUGCGAAAGCGUGGGGAGCAAACAGG